CCUACGGGAGGCAGCAGUGAGGAAUAUUGGUCAAUGGUCGCAAGUCUGAACCAGCCAAGCCGCGUGAAGGAGGACGGUACUAUGUAUUGUAAACCUCUUUUGUCAGGGGACAAAGACAGGUACGCGUCUCCGGAUGAGUGUACCUUAAGGAAAAGCAUCGGCUAACUCCGUGCCAGCAGCCGCGGUAAUACGGAGGAUUCGAGCGUUAUCCGGAUUUAUUGGGUUUAAAGGGUGCGUAGGCGGUCUGAUAAGUUAGAGGUGAACUCCCGGGGCUCAACCGCGGACCUGCCGUUGAUACUGUUCGGCUAGAGAGGAGGUGCAGUAGGCGGAAUGGAUGGUGUAGCGGUGAAAUGCUUAGAGAUCAUACAGAACACCGAUUGCGAAGGCAGCUUACCA
RNAcentral lists this ribosomal RNA (396 nucleotides) under uncultured bacterium. RNAcentral's name for it is "partial 16S ribosomal RNA". It matches the Rfam family "Bacterial small subunit ribosomal RNA", at positions 338 to 731 of the family's 1533-position model. The record is from RNAcentral.